GGAUUAAUUUUCUUAAUUACGAUAUUUUGCAAGAAUCGAUAUUAUUAUCUUUAAAGCAAAAUUAGGAAUGCCUUUGUUCUUCAGAUAUGGCGAUAUCUGGACAGUCCUAAGUCCGGGUCUGUUUUAGUAAACAUUAUUAAUUUGUUCCCUUAACCAUAAACCUCUAGGGGCUCGGAAUACCCACCUUUCUGGUAAUGCAGCCCAGCGGGUCCCAGCCUCGUUUUCCAGCCCUCACUCAAAAUGGAGUCGCUCUGGUUCGAACGCCUCUGACAAGUGUGUACCUACGUGUCAGGCCCGUCCUUCCUGCAGGCCUUUGUCUUGGUGUCACCCUGCCUGAGCUGGCCCCAACCACAGUAGCGACAGUGAUGCUGAUGUGUGACUGCUGCCCGGAGCCUGCUCACAUGACUGUGUGGAGAAAGUUCUUUCCCUGAGGACCAUCUGGAGUGGACGCGUGCACUACCCCUCUCUGAAUACACCCUCCCCACGAGGCCCUCUGGAGCAUCCUGUAGAGCCAGCUCUUACCCAGAGACCCUGAGCCCAGAGAAUGUGCUGGGUGGUGAGCCUGGGGACGAAUGCAGAGCCCUAGAUCUCCUCUCCAGAAGUUGGAGUGCCGUGGUGUGGUCAUAGCCCACUGAAGCCUCAAACCUCUGGGCUGAAGCCAUCCUUCCGCCUCAGCCUCCCAAGUAGCUGGGACCAUAGGUGCAUGGCACUGUGCCUGGCAC
Molecule: long non-coding RNA, 722 nt
Filed under: Pan troglodytes (chimpanzee)
Lineage: Eukaryota; Metazoa; Chordata; Mammalia; Primates; Hominidae
Description: long non-coding RNA NONPTRT017629
Source: RNAcentral